RNAcentral lists this ribosomal RNA (620 nucleotides) under Escherichia coli. RNAcentral describes it as "partial 23S ribosomal RNA". It matches the Rfam family "Bacterial large subunit ribosomal RNA", at positions 609 to 1230 of the family's 2925-position model. Lineage: Bacteria; Pseudomonadati; Pseudomonadota; Gammaproteobacteria; Enterobacterales; Enterobacteriaceae. The record is from RNAcentral.
UGUAUAAUGGGUCAGCGACUUAUAUUCUGUAGCAAGGUUAACCGAAUAGGGGAGCCGAAGGGAAACCGAGUCUUAACUGGGCGUUAAGUUGCAGGGUAUAGACCCGAAACCCGGUGAUCUAGCCAUGGGCAGGUUGAAGGUUGGGUAACACUAACUGGAGGACCGAACCGACUAAUGUUGAAAAAUUAGCGGAUGACUUGUGGCUGGGGGUGAAAGGCCAAUCAAACCGGGAGAUAGCUGGUUCUCCCCGAAAGCUAUUUAGGUAGCGCCUCGUGAAUUCAUCUCCGGGGGUAGAGCACUGUUUCGGCAAGGGGGUCAUCCCGACUUACCAACCCGAUGCAAACUGCGAAUACCGGAGAAUGUUAUCACGGGAGACACACGGCGGGUGCUAACGUCCGUCGUGAAGAGGGAAACAACCCAGACCGCCAGCUAAGGUCCCAAAGUCAUGGUUAAGUGGGAAACGAUGUGGGAAGGCCCAGACAGCCAGGAUGUUGGCUUAGAAGCAGCCAUCAUUUAAAGAAAGCGUAAUAGCUCACUGGUCGAGUCGGCCUGCGCGGAAGAUGUAACGGGGCUAAACCAUGCACCGAAGCUGCGGCAGCGACACUAUGUGUUGUUGGGUA